AGCUUGCUACUGGACCUAGCGGCGGACGGGUGAGUAAUGCUUAGGAAUCUGCCUAUUAGUGGGGGACAACAUUCCGAAAGGAAUGCUAAUACCGCAUACGUCCUACGGGAGAAAGCAGGGGACCUUCGGGCCUUGCGCUAAUAGAUGAGCCUAAGUCGGAUUAGCUAGUUGGUGGGGUAAAGGCCUACCAAGGCGACGAUCUGUAGCGGGUCUGAGAGGAUGAUCCGCCACACUGGGACUGAGACACGGCCCAGACUCCUACGGGAGGCAGCAGUGGGGAAUAUUGGACAAUGGGGGGAACCCUGAUCCAGCCAUGCCGCGUGUGUGAAGAAGGCCUUAUGGUUGUAAAGCACUUUAAGCGAGGAGGAGGCUACUAGUAUUAAUACUACUGGAUAGUGGACGUUACUCGCAGAAUAAGCACCGGCUAACUCUGUGCCAGCAGCCGCGGUAAUACAGAGGGUGCGAGCGUUAAUCGGAUUUACUGGGCGUAAAGCGUGCGUAGGCGGCCAUUUAAGUCAAAUGUGAAAUCCCCGAGCUUAACUUGGGAAUUGCAUUCGAUACUGGAUGGCUAGAGUAUGGGAGAGGAUGGUAGAAUUCCAGGUGUAGCGGUGAAAUGCGUAGAGAUCUGGAGGAAUACCGAUGGCGAAGGCAGCCAUCUGGCCUAAUACUGACGCUGAGGUACGAAAGCAUGGGGAGCAAACAGGAUUAGAUACCCUGGUAGUCCAUGCCGUAAACGAUGUCUACUAGCCGUUGGGGCCUUUGAGGCUUUAGUGGCGCAGCUAACGCGAUAAGUAGACCGCCUGGGGAGUACGGUCGCAAGACUAAAACUCAAAUGA
RNAcentral lists this ribosomal RNA (836 nucleotides) under Acinetobacter sp. AU704. RNAcentral's name for it is "bacterial SSU rRNA". It matches the Rfam family "Bacterial small subunit ribosomal RNA", at positions 77 to 908 of the family's 1533-position model. Lineage: Bacteria; Pseudomonadati; Pseudomonadota; Gammaproteobacteria; Moraxellales; Moraxellaceae. The record is from RNAcentral.